GCAAGUUAAAGGCAGCUGCUGGUUAAUUAUAUUUUAACUAAGGAAACUCCGCACAUCAAUACAAGACUAUGGCGUUGAAAGACGUAUGCUGAGAAGCAUGACCCUGGAGCAGAAACGACACGGCUUUUAAUGGUAGACGAUGAUACUUGAUUGAGGACAUUAAAAGAAACGGUGAAACGGCCAUUCCAUAGGAUGCAAGAGCAAAGAUGCCGAUAAUCGAUUGUGUAGGCAAGGUAGUUCGCUAAGAUGAAUGCUGCAUGAACAGAAUGUGGGUUACUCUUAACAUGC
Molecule: RNase P RNA, 288 nt
Filed under: Methanobrevibacter sp.
Lineage: Archaea; Methanobacteriati; Methanobacteriota; Methanobacteria; Methanobacteriales; Methanobacteriaceae
Description: RNase P RNA component
Rfam family: Archaeal RNase P
About the family: Ribonuclease P (RNase P) is a ubiquitous endoribonuclease, found in archaea, bacteria and eukarya as well as chloroplasts and mitochondria. Its best characterised activity is the generation of mature 5'-ends of tRNAs by cleaving the 5'-leader elements of precursor-tRNAs.
Source: RNAcentral